GACGAACGCUGGCGGCGUGCCUAACACAUGCAAGUCGAACGGGACUUAAUGGAAAGCGGCUUCGGCCAAAUGGAAGUUAAGUUUAGUGGCGAACGGGUGAGUAACGCGUGAGAAACCUGCCUUUCAGUGGGGGACAACAGUUGGAAACGACUGCUAAUACCGCAUAAUGUAUUUUAGGGGCAUCCCCUUUAAUACCAAAGAUUUAUUGCUGAAAGAUGGUCUCGCGUCUGAUUAGCUAGAUGGCGGGGUAACGGCCCACCAUGGCGACGAUCAGUAGCCGGUCUGAGAGGAUGAACGGCCACAUUGGGACUGAGAUACGGCCCAGACUCCUACGGGAGGCAGCAGUGGGGAAUAUUGGGCAAUGGGGGAAACCCUGACCCAGCAACGCCGCGUGAAGGAAGAAGGCUUUCGGGUGUAAACUUCUUUUACCAGGGACGAAGGACGUGACGGUACCUGGAGAAAAGCAACGGCUAACUACGUG
Molecule: ribosomal RNA, 481 nt
Filed under: uncultured bacterium
Lineage: Bacteria
Description: bacterial SSU rRNA
Rfam family: Bacterial small subunit ribosomal RNA
Source: RNAcentral